This 2247-nucleotide long non-coding RNA is filed under the name Cucumis sativus (cucumber). Its description in RNAcentral is "long non-coding RNA (CSAT_LNC003121)". The record is from RNAcentral. Lineage: Eukaryota; Viridiplantae; Streptophyta; Magnoliopsida; Cucurbitales; Cucurbitaceae.
GACACCUAGCCCACUAAGUUCCACUAAUUGUUAGUGGAACAUUAGGUGUUGAGAUUUGGCAAUUGAAUUGCAUGCAUUUUUUGCAUGUAAUUAGGCUAUAAAUAGAGAUGUUUUCAAAUGUUGAAGGACUUUUGCCUCUUUUAUCAUUUUCAUAAUCUCAACAAAAGAAAAAGAAAGCUUCCAAUCUCAUUUUAUCUCCAUUACUUUCUACACCAAAAUUGGGUCCCACAACCCGGUUCUUUGUCAGAGGAUAGCAGUUGAGUACUAGUGGUGGUCUCGGGUAGAAUUGGUAAGAAGACAUCAAACCUUUUGUAAGCUUCAAAGGUAAUACUUCUUAAAACCCUAAUUUGAUUAGUUUAUGGUUACAUGUUAAUUGUGGCAAUUAGGGUAGAAAUUCGAUUCUUUUUCCGCUGUGCAUGACUUAGUUCUAUCAUGCCUUAAAUAUCAAGAUAAUUAAAUUAUUAUUUUAAAAUUGGAAGAAACUCAACAUUAAAAAAUAUUAACUUGUUCGGACACAAGCAUAGAAGCACUGCGCACACACGUACACAUGCACACUUACACAAACGCGUGCACACGCACACCUACACAUAGACACCCACAGAUGCACGAACCCACGCACACACACAUGCACAAGCGCACGCACGCACACACACACGUAUCCACACGCACACAAGCACAUACACAUGCACAAACGCACACACGUGUACGCACAAACCUUAUCUCAAAAUAGUUCCUAUUUUUGCUGACAGUUUAUUUUUUGCCAUCGAUAGAGGAUCUUCCAAUAGACCUACGUGACAGUGUGUGUUGACAGCUUAAUUUCGUUGGCAAAAGAAAAGUUGAUUAGUUUUUGAAGAUUUACUGACGAUAUUUGUCAUCGACAAAGGGUAAAUUUCUUGGAGUGCAUGUACAUCAAACAUAUCAAAUUUGUUAAGUUUACCAAUGAAGUAUAACAAGUUUAUUAGUGGUGUAUCACGUGUAUCAAACUUAUAAGUGAAAUCUUUAAGUGUAUCAAACUAAUCAAGUGUAUCAAGGUCUCAGGGGUAUCAAGUGUAUCAAGAAGAAUCAAGUGUAACGAGAAGUAUUAUGUGGAACGAGAAGUAUUAUGUGUAUGAAGAUGUUUCAAGUGUGUAUCAAAAAGUAUCGAGUGUAUCAAUGAGUACCGAGUGCAUGAAUUGUAUCUAUCAAAUGUAUCAAGUGUAUCAGUAAGAAGUAUCAAGUGUAUCAAGGGGUAUUAGGUGUAUCAGACGUGUAUAAGGUGUAUCAAAUAUACAUCAAUAACGAGGGCAUUUGUGACAUUUUACCUCUUGAUGUGUGAGUUGGUCUUUGUUUUUGUCACUUUCUCAAAUAAUAAGGUAUGUGUUCUAUGGACUUAAUUAAUUAUAACUUAUUUUGCCAUUUUUGCAAGUGUCCCUUAAUUGUAAUACAUGUAUAUGUGACAUAAUAUAAUCAAACUAACUCAUAAAUGGACUUAAUCUAUCUCAUGGACCACAAAUUCUUCAAUUACUUGCAAAUUUGGUGAGUUCCUUCAAAUGGUGGGCGGAGAGCUUAAUUUUGAGAGAGAGGAAAAGUCGUGAAGAGUAUUUGCGAGAGAGGGGGGAACGUCGCCAAAGAGCAUUUGCGAGAGAGCUAAAGACAACGACGAUGUGGGAUGAAGUAAGGUUUUUUUCGGUCAUUGUUCACAAGUGGGAUGAAAGCUUCGAAUUAUUUGUUUUAAAUCAAAAGCGUAUGAUUGAAGGAAAACAUUGAUUUUUUAUUAGGGUAAUUUUUAAUGACACAUAAUUUAUGCCAUUAUUUACAAUGCCAAAAUUUUGUCAAGAAAACUCAAUUUGUGUCACAAAAAAUUUUGUAUUUUUAUUUUUAACGACACAUUUUAUUCCCUCAUAUCCCUUUUUCUUGAUUUCUAGUGUCAUUAAAACUUAUAUUUCUAAAUAAAUUUAUUCGACGAAAGUGGCUAGAUUGGUGGGUUCGACGGCGAAGGCUUGUUGGGCAGCAACGACAACAGUGGUUGGAGUGUGGAAUCGACGACGACAAGUGGCAAAAAAUUGAAAGGCAAGGGUUCUUCAUAACGACUCGGUAGCCCACUUCGUUCGACGAGAAUUUUUUUGCAUUUUUAGUAGAGUGAGAAAAAAAUUGCAUUAAGACUUCAUUCGACGACAUCGUUUUUGCUUAGAGAAAAUUUGAGGUUUUUACUUUGUUGUAAUUGCGUGAGAGAGGGAAAUUUUGAAAUUUUGAAAAUUUGAGGUUUUU